UACGUAGGAGACGAGCGUUGUCCGGAGUUACUGGGCGUAAAGGGUGCGCAGGCGGCCUGGCGCGUCGCGAGUGAAAUCUCCUGGCUCAACUGGGAGGGUGGUCGCGAGACGGCUGGGCUUGAGGCUCGGUGAGGGGGGUAGAAUUCCACGUGUAGCAGUGAAAUGCGUAGAGAUGUGGAGGAAUACCGAUGGCGAAGGCAGCCCCCUGGGCCAAUACUGACGCUCAUGCACGAAAGCGUGGGGAGCAAACAGG
Molecule: ribosomal RNA, 253 nt
Filed under: uncultured bacterium
Lineage: Bacteria
Description: partial 16S ribosomal RNA
Rfam family: Bacterial small subunit ribosomal RNA
Source: RNAcentral